GGAAAAGAAACCAACAGGGAUUGCCCCAGUAACGGCGAGUGAAGCGGCAACAGCUCAAAUUUGAAAUCUGGCCCCCAGGGCCCGAGUUGUAAUUUGCAGAGGAUGCUUUUGGCGCGGUGCCUUCCGAGUUCCCUGGAACGGGACGCCAUAGAGGGUGAGAGCCCCGUCUGGUCGGACGCCUAGCCUGUGUAAAGCUCCUUCGACGAGUCGAGUAGUUUGGGAAUGCUGCUCUAAAUGGGAGGUAUAUGUCUUCUAAAGCUAAAUACCGGCCAGAGACCGAUAGCGCACAAGUAGAGUGAUCGAAAGAUGAAAAGCACUUUGAAAAGAGGGUUAAAUAGUACGUGAAAUUGUUGAAAGGGAAGCGCUUGUGACCAGACUUGGGCCCGGUGGAUCAUCCAGCGUUCUCGCUGGUGCACUCCGCCGGGUUCAGGCCAGCAUCAGUUCGCCGCGGGGGAAAAAGGCUUCGGGAACGUGGCUCCUACGGGAGUGUUAUAGCCCGUUGCAUAAUACCCUGGGGCGGACUGAGGUUCGCGCUCCGCAAGGAUGCUGGCGUAAUGGUCAUCAGCGACCCG
RNAcentral lists this ribosomal RNA (572 nucleotides) under Purpureocillium lilacinum. RNAcentral's name for it is "eukaryotic LSU rRNA". It matches the Rfam family "Eukaryotic large subunit ribosomal RNA", at positions 55 to 651 of the family's 3401-position model. The record is from RNAcentral. Lineage: Eukaryota; Fungi; Ascomycota; Sordariomycetes; Hypocreales; Ophiocordycipitaceae.